This 677-nucleotide ribosomal RNA is filed under the name unidentified bacterium B4. Its description in RNAcentral is "bacterial SSU rRNA". It matches the Rfam family "Bacterial small subunit ribosomal RNA", at positions 34 to 697 of the family's 1533-position model. The record is from RNAcentral.
CGCUGGCGGCGUGCCUAAUACAUGCAAGUCGAGCGAAUCACUGGGAGCUUGCUCCCAGUGAUUAGCGGCGGACGGGUGAGUAACACGUGGGCAACCUGCCUGUAAGACUGGGAUAACUUCGGGAAACCGGAGCUAAUACCGGAUAAUACUUUUCUGCUCAUGCAGAGAAGCUGAAAGAUGGCUAUCUGCUAUCACUUACAGAUGGGCCCGCGGCGCAUUAGCUAGUUGGUGAGGUAACGGCUCACCAAGGCAACGAUGCGUAGCCGACCUGAGAGGGUGAUCGGCCACACUGGGACUGAGACACGGCCCAGACUCCUACGGGAGGCAGCAGUAGGGAAUCUUCCGCAAUGGACGAAAGUCUGACGGAGCAACGCCGCGUGAGUGAUGAAGGUUUUCGGAUCGUAAAACUCUGUUGUUAGGGAAGAACAAGUACCGGAGUAACUGCCGGUACCUUGACGGUACCUAACCAGAAAGCCACGGCUAACUACGUGCCAGCAGCCGCGGUAAUACGUAGGUGGCAAGCGUUGUCCGGAAUUAUUGGGCGUAAAGCGCGCGCAGGCGGUCCUUUAAGUCUGAUGUGAAAGCCCACGGCUCAACCGUGGAAGGUCUUUGGAAACUGGGGGACUUGAAUGCAGAGAAGAAAGUGAAUUCCACGUGUACCGUUAAAAGCGUAAAAU